GAUGAACGCUGGCGGCGUGCUUAACACAUGCAAGUCGAACGAAGCAUUUGCGACAGAUUUUUUCGGAAUGAAGUUGCUUAUGACUGAGUGGCGGACGGGUGAGUAACGCGUGGGUAACCUGCCUUGUACUGGGGGAUAGCAGCUGGAAACGGCUGGUAAUACCGCAUAAGCGCACAAUGUUGCAUGACAUGGUGUGAAAAACUCCGGUGGUAUAAGAUGGACCCGCGUCUGAUUAGCUAGUUGGUGAGAUAACAGCCCACCAAGGCGACGAUCAGUAGCCGACCUGAGAGGGUGACCGGCCACAUUGGGACUGAGACACGGCCCAGACUCCUACGGGAGGCAGCAGUGGAGAAUAUUGCACAAUGGAGGAAACUCUGAUGCAGCGACGCCGCGUGAGUGAAGAAGUAAUUCGUUAUGUAAAGCUCUAUCAGCAGGGAAGAUAGUGACGGUACCUGACUAAGAAGCUCCGGCUAAAUACGUG
Molecule: ribosomal RNA, 481 nt
Filed under: uncultured bacterium
Lineage: Bacteria
Description: partial 16S ribosomal RNA
Rfam family: Bacterial small subunit ribosomal RNA
Source: RNAcentral